GCUGGCGGCGUGCUUAACACAUGCAAGUCGUGCGCGAAGGUGGCUUCGGCUGCCGGAGAGCGGCGAACGGGUGAGUAACACGUGGGUAAUCUGCCUGGGAGCGGGGGAUAACCUGGGGAAACUCGGGCUAAUACCGCAUACGAUGGCUGGGAUGAGUCCUGGUCAGGAAAGUUGGCCUCUGCUUGCAAGCUAGCGUUCCCAGAGGAGCCCGCGGCUGAUUAGCUAGUUGGUGGGGUAAUGGCCCACCAAGGCGACGAUCAGUAGCCGGCCUGAGAGGGUGAUCGGCCACACUGGGACUGAGACACGGCCCAGACUCCUACGGGAGGCAGCAGUGGGGAAUAUUGGACAAUGGGCGCAAGCCUGAUCCAGCAACGCCGCGUGGAGGAUGAAGGUCUUCGGAUCGUAAACUCCUGUCAGAUGGGACGAAGGUGACGAGGUGAACAACAUCGUUGCUUGACGGUACCGUCAGAGGAAGCCCCGGCUAACUCCGUG
Molecule: ribosomal RNA, 492 nt
Filed under: uncultured Holophagae bacterium
Lineage: Bacteria; Pseudomonadati; Acidobacteriota; Holophagae
Description: bacterial SSU rRNA
Rfam family: Bacterial small subunit ribosomal RNA
Source: RNAcentral